ACCCACACAUAUCGGUCAAACUUAUAACUCACCUUUUUUUCGUUCAAGGGUUAAAAAUAUGAAAAAAUGUGACAAU
Chrysoperla carnea is the source of this 76-nucleotide long non-coding RNA. RefSeq lists it as uncharacterized. The record is from RefSeq and is a predicted model, not a curated record. The transcript has 3 exons. NCBI's taxonomy places the organism in Eukaryota, Metazoa, Arthropoda, Insecta, Neuroptera, Chrysopidae.